This 166-nucleotide ribosomal RNA is filed under the name uncultured bacterium. Its description in RNAcentral is "partial 16S ribosomal RNA". It matches the Rfam family "Bacterial small subunit ribosomal RNA", at positions 1334 to 1500 of the family's 1533-position model. The record is from RNAcentral.
GCUAGUAAUCGCGGAUCAGCAUGCCGCGGUGAAUACGUUCCCGGGCCUUGUACACACCGCCCGUCACACCAUGAGAGUUGGCAACACCCGAAGUCAGUAGGCUAACGCAAGAGGCCGCUGGCCGAAGGUGGGGUUGACGAUUGGGGUGAAGUCGUAACAAGGUAGC